AUAAGCAUGACCCAAUAUUUUUUCGAGAUCCACAGUUUUCAUUGCCCGGAUUCGUGCCGUCCACGGCACACGGUUGGGGUGCGGCGGCCUCAUGAUCAUAUGCAUAAAACAUCGCCUUCUUCGCCUCUCUCGCGCGCGCUCUCUCCCUAACUCGUUACCGCUGUUGUAAUUCACUGUACACAAUGGCGUUUCUCCGGCUACGCUCAGCAGAUGUCGCCGGAUUCAAACUAUUCUUCGCCCUCUUCCUCCUUUAUGGAAUGAUGUCUUAUCUCGUGUCCUCCGUUAUUCACAUGAAGUUCAUAACGCCUCUGGGCCCUCACGCACCGCUGGAUCGCUUCUCCGAAGCCAGAGCUGUCGAGCACGUUCGUGUGCUGGCGGAAGAAAUCGGCGGUCGACAGGAGGGAAGUCCAGGUUUGAGAAUGGCAGCUGCAUACAUUAAAACACAGUUAGAACUGAUAAGAGAACGAGCUGGAUCAAAUGUUAGGGUAGACAUAGAAGAAACAGUUGUCAAUGGCUCCUUCAAUAUGAUAUUUUUAGGACACAGCAUAUCACUAAGUUAUAGAAACCAUACAAAUAUUCUUAUGAGGAUUUCCUCAAUUGAGUCACUGGAAACUGAGCCAUCAGUUUUAUUAAAUGCCCAUUUUGAUAGUCCUCCAGGGUCUCCAGGUGCUGGUGAUUGUGGCUCAUGCGUGGCAUCACUGCUCGAGUUAGCAAGGCUCACAGUCGAUUCUGGCUGGAUUCCUCCUCGGCCAAUAAUAUUCUUAUUUAAUGGAGCUGAAGAGUUGUUUAUGCUGGGUUCACAUGGUUUCAUGACAACACAUAGAUGGCGUAAUACAAUUGGUGCAUUUAUUGAUGUUGAGGCAUCUGGGACUGGAGGCACUGAUUUGGUCUGUCAAUCUGGACCUGGAUACUGGCCGUCAUAUGUUUAUGCUCAGUCAGCUAUGUAUCCGAUGGCAAACAGUGCAGCUCAGGAUGUUUUUGGUGUUAUUCCUGGUGAUACUGACUACAGGAUAUUUGCUACUGAUUAUGGUGACAUUCCUGGAUUGGAUAUUAUCUUCCUGCUUGGGGGUUAUUAUUAUCACACCUCAUCUGAUACAGUGGAAAGACUAUUACCUGGUAGCGUACAAGCCCGUGGGGACAAUUUGUUUAGUUUAAUGAAGGCAUUUGCAAAUUCUUCCGAACUAUUAAAUUCUCAAGAGCGAGAAUCAAGAUCUGCUGCCGUUGUAUCUAAAGGCGAAAGACCAGUUUUCUUUGAUUACUUGUCACUGUUCUUGGUCUUCUACUCAAGAAGGCAAGCUUUGGUGUUUCAUAGUAUUCCAUUUGCCAUCUUCCUCUUCAUGCCCCUAUUGCUGUGCUUGCGAGCUCGAAGUUUGUUCUAUUCCUUCAAUUUGUAUUAUGACAUCAUAAAAGGGAUACUGUACCAUGCCAGUGGGAUUAUACUUGCUAUUGUUUUUCCCGUAUCUUUUGCAAUCUUGCGUUUGGUGUUCUCUGUACAUUCUAUGCACUGGUUUGCCAAUAAAUAUUUGGCAUUUCUUAUGUUUGUGCCAUGCUCACUUGUUGGUCUGUUGGUUCCAAGAAUUCUUUGGAAACACUUUGCUCUGUCCCAGGAUCUUUCAGUUCUUGCACUCUCGCGGGAGGAAUUGGAUGAUCAUGCAAGGUUUUGGGGAGCUUUUGGAUUCUACUCUCUUUUGACAUUGGCAUAUCUGAUAUCUGGGCUGAGUGGGGGUUUUAUGACAUUCAUUGUUUCAAUAUCUAUGCUUAUCGCAUGGGUUUUCUUUCGAGUAUCAUACAUGUAUUUUGGUUGUCAUCCUCUCAGGUCAACAGCAUUUUAUGUGGUUCCUUUGGUGCCUUGCCUUGUGUAUUCAGUUUACUUUGGAGGAUUUUUUGCUGUUUUUGUGAUUGAGAAAAUGGGCAUGACGGGUUCACACCCACCUCCUUAUGGGUAUUUUGUACCUGAUGUAAUAGUUGCUGCAGUUGUUGGCUUAGUUACUGGGUGGUGCUUUGGUCCUCUUUUACCUGUAGUUGGGAAAUGGCUGGCACAAUCAUCAAUUAUUCGUUUUCUGUUGCAUGGGAUUGUUCUUGCCUUGGCUUUAUCAUCACAAGUCUUUCCAUACAGCAAUGAUGCACCAAAAAGAAUUGUUCUCCAGCAUACUGUUCAGACUAAAGGUGCUAAUCAGAUAUCAAAUGCUAGUUUUGAUUUUGCGGUGACUGAUUCAAACUCACUGAUGUUUGUUUUCAAACACGCACCUGUGGUGGUGAAGGAACUGCACGGUAAUCAAGAAUUAAGUUUUCACAGUGUUAAUGAAUCAAGAUUGGAUACAUGGAAGGGAAUUUUUCCAAUAUCUAAUUUGUUCUCGGGAAGCUUGAAGUUUCCUGCAAAUACUGAGGAUAUAUUGAAGCAAUUCAAAUAUUUUCCUUAUUUAUCAACUGAUGAAGACCAGGUCCCAGUUGCUGGUAGAUUUCGAAGAGUCAACUUGGAACUAUCAAUGGGUACGUUGAAGGAGGUUUGGGUUGCAGUCCUUAACAUUACAGGUCCAUUGUCGAAUUGGUCAUUUGCAAGCAAUAUGGUCCCAGCUCCAGUAAGAGUUGGGCAAGGGCCACCAUCAUACAUAUGCAGGCUGAGUGGUGCUGGUCAUGAGAAUUGGAAAUUCUGGUUGGAGGCCAACAGUUCGAAGCCAUUGAGGGUUGAUGUUGCUGUGGUGGACCUACAUUUAACAGAGUUGGCCCUUAAGUUGAAAGGCCUCUUUCCAAGUUGGAUGGAUGUCACUGCCUACACUAGUUUUUUAUCUUCCUACAGUGUCUAACUAGCGACUACUUGAACGGCUUCACAAUUUCCUUUUGUGUUAUUCUAAAUUAUAACAGGUACUGUUCCGAAUGCAUUAGAAUAUAUGAUCAGGUUGAUAUAUGAAGACAGCAUGCCUCUGGAACAAUAGUGAGAUAAUGAGAUUACUUUCACUCUCAGCAUGAGAACAGGUGUCAACGAUUGUUAGUGCUGGCGAAAAUAAAAGACAUGAGACGUCACAUAGCUAGACUUACCUAAACGGUUUGACACGUCAAUUUCGAAGUGUUGAAAAAUCAAGUCAAAAUCAUUUAGUAUUAUUAUUAUUUUUGUUUUUUUUAUUUUUCACAAUUUCAA
RNA transcript from Andrographis paniculata, 3136 nucleotides. RefSeq lists it as uncharacterized. The record is from RefSeq and is a predicted model, not a curated record. The transcript is spliced from 22 exons. NCBI's taxonomy places the organism in Eukaryota, Viridiplantae, Streptophyta, Magnoliopsida, Lamiales, Acanthaceae.